Molecule: microRNA precursor, 98 nt
Filed under: Pteropus alecto (black flying fox)
Lineage: Eukaryota; Metazoa; Chordata; Mammalia; Chiroptera; Pteropodidae
Description: mir-544 microRNA precursor family
Rfam family: mir-544 microRNA precursor family
Source: Rfam by way of RNAcentral
AUCACCUAGGGAUCUCAUUAAAAUGCAGAUUCUAAUUCAGUAGGUUUGGGGUGGGAGUGGAGAUUCUGCAUUUCUAACAAGCUCCCACGGGAUGCCGA